UACAGAGGGGGCAAGCGUUAUUCGGAAUUAUUGGGCGUAAAGGGCGCGUAGGCGGCCUGGCAAGUGGAAGGUGAAAUCCCUCGGCUUAACCGAGGAACUGCCCUCCAAACUGCUUGGCUUGAGUCCGGGAGAGGUGAGUGGAAUUCCCAGUGUAGCGGUGAAAUGCGUAGAUAUUGGGAGGAACACCAGUGGCGAAGGCGGUUCUCUGGGCCUGACCUGACGCUGAGGAGCGAAAGCGUGGGGAGCGAACAGG
Molecule: ribosomal RNA, 253 nt
Filed under: uncultured bacterium
Lineage: Bacteria
Description: partial 16S ribosomal RNA
Rfam family: Bacterial small subunit ribosomal RNA
Source: RNAcentral